Molecule: ribosomal RNA, 456 nt
Filed under: uncultured bacterium
Lineage: Bacteria
Description: partial 16S ribosomal RNA
Rfam family: Bacterial small subunit ribosomal RNA
Source: RNAcentral
CCUGGGGGCUGCAGUGAGGAAUAUUGGUCAAUGGCCGAGAGGCUGAACCAGCCAAGUCGCGUGAGGGAAGACGGCCCUACGGGUUGUAAACCUCUUUUGUCGGGGAGCAAAGCGAACCACGUGUGGUUCAUUGAGAGUACCCGAAGAAAAAGCAUCGGCUAACUCCGUGCCAGCAGCCGCGGUAAUACGGAGGAUGCGAGCGUUAUCCGGAUUUAUUGGGUUUAAAGGGUGCGCAGGCGGAGGUGCAAGUCAGCGGUCAAAUUGCGGGGCUCAACCCCGUACUGCCGUUGAAACUGCAUCCCUGGAGUGCGCGAGAAGUAUGCGGAAUGCGUGGUGUAGCGGUGAAAUGCAUAGAUAUUAGGAGGAACACCAGUGGCGAAGGCGGCUUACUGGACAGUAACUGACGUUGAGGCUCGAAAGCGUGGGGAGCAAACAGGAUUAGAUACCCUUGUAGUC